UACGUAGGGUCCGAGCGUUUGUCCGGAAUUAUUGGGCGUAAAGAGCUCGUAGGCGGUGUGUCACGUCGGCCGUGAAAACCUGCAGCUUAACUGUGGGCGUGCGGUCGAUACGGGCAUCACUGGAGUUCGGCAGGGGAGACUGGAAUUCCUGGUGUAGCGGUGGAAAUGCGCAGAUAUCAGGAGGAACACCAGUGGCGAAGGCAGGGCUCGCUGGGGCCGGAAUGACUGACG
RNAcentral lists this ribosomal RNA (231 nucleotides) under uncultured bacterium. RNAcentral's name for it is "partial 16S ribosomal RNA". It matches the Rfam family "Bacterial small subunit ribosomal RNA", at positions 524 to 745 of the family's 1533-position model. The record is from RNAcentral.